GAUGAACGCUAGCGACAGGCUUAACACAUGCAAGUCGAGGGGCAGCGAGGGCGUAGCAAUACGCCUGUCGGCGACCGGCGCACUGGUGAGUAACACGUAUGCGACCUGCCCCCUACAGGGGUAUAACCCGUAGAAAUGCGGACUAAUCCCCCAUAGUCCCGCGGGCUGCAUGGCCUGCGGGGGAAAGGGUUUCCGGUAGGGGAUGGGCAUGCGGCGCAUUAGCUAGUUGGCGGGGCAAACGGCCCACCAAGGCGACGAUGCGUAGGGGUUCUGAGAGGAAGGUCCCCCACACUGGUACUGAGACACGGACCAGACUCCUACGGGAGGCAGCAGUGAGGAAUAUUGGUCAAUGGGCGCAGGCCUGAACCAGCCAAGUCGCGUGAGGGAGGACGGUCCUACGGAUUGUAAACCNCUUUUGUCGGGGAGUAAACCGUGCGGGACGCGUCCCGUAUUGAGAGUACCCG
This 464-nucleotide ribosomal RNA is filed under the name uncultured bacterium. Its description in RNAcentral is "bacterial SSU rRNA". It matches the Rfam family "Bacterial small subunit ribosomal RNA", at positions 28 to 481 of the family's 1533-position model. The record is from RNAcentral.